GCUUGCACCUUUCAAGUGAGUGGCGAACGGGUGAGUAACACGUGGACAACCUGCCUCAAGGCUGGGGAUAACAUUUGGAAACAGAUGCUAAUACCGAAUAAAACUUAGUGUCGCAUGACAAAAAGUUAAAAGGCGCUUCGGCGUCACCUAGAGAUGGAUCCGCGGUGCAUUAGUUAGUUGGUGGGGUAAAGGCCUACCAAGACAAUGAUGCAUAGCCGAGUUGAGAGACUGAUCGGCCACAUUGGGACUGAGACACGGCCCAAACUCCUACGGGAGGCUGCAGUAGGGAAUCUUCCACAAUGGGCGAAAGCCUGAUGGAGCAACGCCGCGUGUGUGAUGAAGGCUUUCGGGUCGUAAAGCACUGUUGUAUGGGAAGAACAGCUAGAAUAGGAAAUGAUUUUAGUUUGACGGUACCAUACCAGAAAGGGACGGCUAAAUACGUGCCAGCAGCCGCGGUAAUACGUAUGUCCCGAGCGUUAUCCGGAUUUAUUGGGCGUAAAGCGAGCGCAGACGGUUUAUUAAGUCUGAUGUGAAAGCCCGGAGCUCAACUCCGGAAUGGCAUUGGAAACUGGUUAACUUGAGUGCAGUAGAGGUAAGUGGAACUCCAUGUGUAGCGGUGGAAUGCGUAGAUAUAUGGAAGAACACCAGUGGCGAAGGCGGCUUACUGGACUGCAACUGACGUUGAGGCUCGAAAGUGUGGGUAGCAAACAGGAUUAGAUACCCUGGUAGUCCACACCGUAAACGAUGAACACUAGGUGUUUAGGAGGUUUCCGCCUCUUAGUGCCGAAGCUAACGC
This 796-nucleotide ribosomal RNA is filed under the name Leuconostoc mesenteroides. Its description in RNAcentral is "bacterial SSU rRNA". It matches the Rfam family "Bacterial small subunit ribosomal RNA", at positions 78 to 858 of the family's 1533-position model. The record is from RNAcentral. Lineage: Bacteria; Bacillati; Bacillota; Bacilli; Lactobacillales; Lactobacillaceae.